Molecule: ribosomal RNA, 301 nt
Filed under: uncultured bacterium
Lineage: Bacteria
Description: partial 16S ribosomal RNA
Rfam family: Bacterial small subunit ribosomal RNA
Source: RNAcentral
CAGUCGCCACGGUAAUACAGAGGGUGCGAGCGUUAAUCGGAUUUACUGGGCGUAAAGCGUGCGUAGGCGGCUUCUUAAGUCGGAUGUGAAAUCCAUGAGCUUAACUUAGGAAUUGCAUUCGAUACUGGGAAGCUAGAGUAUGGGAGAGGAUGGUAGAAUUCCAGGUGUAGCGGUGAAAUGCGUAGAGAUCUGGAGGAAUACCGAUGGCGAAGGCAGCCAUCUGGCCUAAUACUGACGCUGAGGUACGAAAGCAUGGGGAGCAAACAGGAUUAGAUACCCGGGUAGUCCCUGUCUCUUAUAA